RNAcentral lists this ribosomal RNA (250 nucleotides) under uncultured bacterium. RNAcentral describes it as "partial 16S ribosomal RNA". It matches the Rfam family "Bacterial small subunit ribosomal RNA", at positions 30 to 281 of the family's 1533-position model. The record is from RNAcentral.
AUUGAACGCUGGCGGCGUGCUUUAUACAUGCAAGUCGAACGAUGAAGUUCCUUCGGGAAUGGAUUAGUGGCGAACGGGUGAGAAACACGUGAGAAACCUGCCUUUCAUUUUGGGAUAACUCCGGGAAACCGGAGCUAACACCGAAUACUCCGUCUCGGCGGCAUCGCUGAGCCGGGAAAAAUUUUGAUGAAAGAUGGUCUCGCGGCCUAUCGGCUAGUUGGUGAGGUAAUGGCUCACCAAGGCGACGACG